CAGGGGGCUGAGUGGUAAAGAAUCUGCCUCUGAUGCAGGAGACGCAGGUUCGAUCCCUGGGUCCCUGA
RNAcentral lists this transfer RNA (68 nucleotides) under Bos taurus (domestic cattle). It matches the Rfam family "tRNA". Rfam says of the family: Transfer RNA (tRNA) molecules are approximately 80 nucleotides in length. Their secondary structure includes four short double-helical elements and three loops (D, anti-codon, and T loops). Further hydrogen bonds mediate the characteristic L-shaped molecular structure. tRNAs have two regions of fundamental functional importance: the anti-codon, which is responsible for specific mRNA codon recognition, and the 3' end, to which the tRNAs corresponding amino acid is attached (by aminoacyl-tRNA synthetases). tRNAs cope with the degeneracy of the genetic code in two manners: having more than one tRNA (with a specific anti-codon) for a particular amino acid; and 'wobble' base-pairing, i.e. permitting non-standard base-pairing at the 3rd anti-codon position. Lineage: Eukaryota; Metazoa; Chordata; Mammalia; Artiodactyla; Bovidae. The record is from Rfam by way of RNAcentral.